This 622-nucleotide ribosomal RNA is filed under the name Bacillus licheniformis. RNAcentral describes it as "bacterial SSU rRNA". Lineage: Bacteria; Bacillati; Bacillota; Bacilli; Caryophanales; Bacillaceae. The record is from RNAcentral.
AARCUCUGUUGUUAGGGAAGAACAAGUACCGUUCGAAUAGGGCGGUACCUUGACGGUACCUAACCAGAAAGCCACGGCUAACUACGUGCCAGCAGCCGCGGUAAUACGUAGGUGGCAAGCGUUGUCCGGAAUUAUUGGGCGUAAAGSGCKCGCAGGCGGUUUCUUAAGUCUGAUGUGAAAGCCCCCGGCUCAACCGGGGAGGGUCAUUGGAAACUGGGGAACUUGAGUGCAGAAGAGGAGAGUGGAAUUCCACGUGUAGCGGUGAAAUGCGUAGAGAUGUGGAGGAACACCAGUGGCGAAGGCGACUCUCUGGUCUGUAACUGACGCUGAGGMGCGAAAGCGUGGGGAGCGAACAGGAUUAGAUACCCUGGUAGUCCACGCCGUAAACGAUGAGUGCUAAGUGUUAGRGGGUUUCCGCCCYUUAGUGCUGCAGCWAACGCAUUAAGCACUCCGCCUGGGGAGUACGGUCGCAAGACUGAAACUCAAAGGAAUUGACGGGGGCCCGCACAAGCGGUGGAGCAUGUGGUUUAAUUCGAAGCAACGCGAAGAACCUUACCAGGUCUUGACAUCCUCUGACAAYCCUAGAGAUAGGGCUUCCCCUUCGGGGGCAGAGUGACAGGUG